UCCCCUUCCCUCCCUCUCCAUCCCUUCCCUCCCUCUCCAUCCCUUCCCUCCCUCCUCCUCGUCCCAGCUGUAAUAAACUCCCAAAUCUGCUGCUAUUCCACCUUUUCCUCCUUAAAAAUGGGAAUUCAGCUGAUAUUCUCCUUCCUUUCACACCCAGGGAGGUCACAGCUGUAAUAAACUCCCAAAUCUGCUGCUAUUCCACCUUUUUCCUCCUGAAAUUUGGAAUUCAGUUGAUAUUCUCCCCCCUUUCAAACCCUGGGAGGUCACAGCUGUAAUAAACUCCCAAAUUUGCUGCUACCCCACUUUUUUAUCCCCUAAAAGCUGGAAUUUGGCUGAUAUUUUCCUUCCUUUCUGUGCUGGCAGACUGCAGGACAGACUGAACUUGGAGCAAACUCACAAAUGUGCUGCUAUUGAUAAAAAUGUUCAUUAGA
Molecule: non-coding RNA, 431 nt
Organism: Taeniopygia guttata (zebra finch)
Lineage: Eukaryota; Metazoa; Chordata; Aves; Passeriformes; Estrildidae
Source: RefSeq, a predicted model, not a curated record